Molecule: long non-coding RNA, 526 nt
Organism: Helianthus annuus (common sunflower)
Lineage: Eukaryota; Viridiplantae; Streptophyta; Magnoliopsida; Asterales; Asteraceae
Exons: 3
Source: RefSeq, a predicted model, not a curated record
GCCAGGGAAGGAAGAAAAGGGAGCCAAGAACCCUAACUACUAGAUAUCAAGAAAUUGGAGCCUAAAUCUCAAGGAAAUUCGAUGCAUGAGCCCCCUUAUACGAAAAUCUAACCCUAACUAGUGAAGUGGCAUAAAGGAAGAAGGUACAAGCACCAAGAAAACGGAAGGAACGCAAGAUCGAGGUAAAACUCCGCUAUAGGCGAUUCGGGGAUAUGGAGCGAGCACAUGAUCAAGCCUUAAUAUACCAAGCGCUUCCGCUAGUUUUUAUACAUGCUUUGGGUCCAUGUUUUGUUACCUUGUUUAAUCUUGUUAGAAGUCUUACACUUGAAAACUUGUUGUUUUGUUUGGGUAGUUUAAAGCUAGUAGGGUCGUAGGUGAAUAUUGUCAAUUAUGUCAAAACAGGGGGCAUGUCCGUUUUACAAACGGGUCAUGCCCAAAUUUUGUAAAAAAUUUUAUUAAGUGUCAAAGUUGGUAUUUCGAUGUCCGAAAAAUUAUCCUUUUGUAAGUAAUCUAACAAUAACGAAAA